UUUUCCGUACGCCACAUUUCCCGCGCCCCACCGCGGGGCGGGGAUUCGGCGCUGGGCUCUUCCCUGUUCACUCGCCAUUACUGAGGGAAUCCUGGUUAGUUUCUUUUCCUCCGCUGACAAAUAUGCUUAAAUUCAGCGGGUCGCCACGUCUGAUCUGAGCGGCGCCGGGGAGUGGGUCUUCCGUACGCCACAUUUCCCGCGCCCCACCGCGGGGCGGGGAU
Molecule: long non-coding RNA, 221 nt
Filed under: Homo sapiens (human)
Lineage: Eukaryota; Metazoa; Chordata; Mammalia; Primates; Hominidae
Description: HSALNT0239737
Source: RNAcentral